AACAAGCAGAUAUCCAUGUAAAAAAAAAAAAAUAAAAUAAUGAAUUCCAACCCCCAUACUUGCGUCAUAACUGCAAAAUAACUUGAGAUGGCUCACAGCCCUAAGCAUAAAAGCCAAAGCUUGUAGGUGAAAGGAACAGUACACAGAAAGCAACAACAAUUAAAAAAAAAAAAAAUGUUGAAAAAAAAUCAGGUUUCACCAAAAUUAAAAAUUUCCACUUAGCAAAAACUCCCCAUUAAGAAAAUGAAUAAGUAAGCCAAAGACUGGGAUAAAAUAUUCAGAAAACAUAUCUAACAAAGGUCUCAAUUCCAGAUGAUAUAAAUAAUUAUAUAUAAUUUUUUUAAAGAAAAAAAAUUUAAUGGGAAAGGAUUUGAACGUUCUGCAAAAGAAAUCCAAAUGUUCAGUCAGCACAUGAUAAAAGCACAUUAAUACCCAAAAGUCAUCAGAGAAAUGCAAAUUAAAACCAAAAUGAGAUAUCACUAUUCAUCUAACCAAAUAACUAAAAUUAAAAAGACUGGUGACAUCAAAUGUUGGUGAGGACGUUAAAAGAAGUCUCAAACCCUGCUGGUGAGAGUAUAAAAAUGGUUUAACACUCUGGAAAACAAUCUAAUAGUUUCUUAUAAAACUAAUCACAUAUCUACUCUAUGACUUAAAAAUUGCACUUCUAGGGGUGCCUGGAUGGCUCAGUCAGUUAAGCAUCCAACUCUGGAUUUCGGCUCAGGUCAUGAUCUCAGGGUUCAUGGGUUUGAGCCCCACAUAGGGCUUGGUGUUGAUAACUGCUGAGCUUGCUUGGGAUUCUCUCUCUCUGCCCCUCCCCGGCUCAUGCUUUCUCUCUCUCUCUCAAAAUAAAUAAACUUUAGGGGCGUCUGGGUGGGUCAGUCUGACUUCGGCUCAGGUCAUGAUCUCGCGGUUUGUGAGUUCUUCGAGGCCCGCGCUGACAGCUUGGAGCCUGAAGCCUGUUUCGGAUUCUGUGUCUCCCUCCCUCUCUGCCCCUCCUCCACUCAUGCUCUGUGUCUCUGUCUCUCUCAAAACUAAAAGCACAUUAAAAAUUUUUUGAAUAAAUUUAUACAUAUACUUAAAACAAAUAAAAUUGUACUUCUAUACAUUUACCUAAAAGAAAUGAAAACAUGUCUACAAAAAGUCAUUAGACUAUUCACGUAUUACAACUAGUCAUGAUGCAAAUGAAUAAACAAACUGUGGUCUAUGUACGUGAUGAAAUGAUAACAGAUCUAAGGGAAAAGCCUCCAGUGGGAAAAGCUAAUGCAAACAGAAGCAGAAACAGAAAAUUAGGGAGAAGAAAACUUCAGAGAAACUUGGAAGACACAGUAUUAUGAAACAAUGCCAUAAAAGCGAUUAGCGUUAACAUUUAGCAAAUAAAAGGUUUUUAUAAAUUAAAAAUAUGAUAGCAGAACCAAAAUACUCAAUAGGAAGACUGGAAGACAAAGGAAAUAUCCCAGAAAACAGAACUGGGAGGAAAAAAAAAAAGAAAAGACAGUAAAAUGGAAAAGAAUACUUGAUAAUCAAGUAGCACGAUAUGAUCGGUAAUAUUUCCAAAAGAGUAGAGGAAGAAAUCCUAAGAGAAAUUAAAAAAAAAAAAUUCUUAGACCUGAAAACGUCCAACUUUAUGUUGGAAAGGUCCAGAGGGCCUAGCACAGUGAACCAAAAAAGGCAUAUAACAAGGCAUGUGCAUUUCAAAUUUAAAAAUACCAGGAACAGGCCUCCUGGGGGGGCUCAGUCGGUUAAGCGCACAUUGGACUCUUGAUUUAGGCUCAGGUCAUAAUCUAACAGUUCAUGGAUUUGAGCCCUGCAUCCGCCUCCAUGCUCACAGCAUGGAGCCUGCUUGGGAUUCUCUCUCCCCCUCUCUCGCUCUCAAAGUAAGUAAAUAAACUUAAAAAAAUAGAAUAAAAAAUAAAAAUGCCAGGGAAGAUCGGAAAAGUCCAAGAGUCCACUAGAAAGAGAAAGAGAAAACAGAUCAGAGGAGGAACGAUACUGGUCUCCUCAACAACACUAGAAGCUAGAGGACAAUGACAAUACCUUCAAAUACCUUCUGAAAGAAAGGUUUUCCGACUCAGAAUUUUAUAUUCAGCCCAAUUAUAAAUCAAAAAUGAGGACAAAUACAUUUUCAGGACAGACUUACUACAUUUUCAUGCAUUUGGAAUCGCAAAAAAAAAAAAAAAAAGUGACUGCUUUGGACACCUUCGCAGGACAUUUCUGUAGGAUGUGCUUCAUAAAUAAGAGGAAAGCAAGAAAGACAUAAGUCCUAAUAAAACAGAAAAGCAAAGGAAAUUCCUGGAAUGACUGUAAAGACGAAUCCAGCACAGCUGUGUAGCAGGCAGAGGGAAGCAAGAGCAGUUUGGAGCAGGAGGGAAUACUGAGGGAGCUGCGAGGAAGGCUAAAUCAUGUGACUGAGUGUAUUAUGGGGAAACUUGUGUGGGGAGUUUUGGGAUGGAAUGAAAGGACUUAGUCAAACAUACAAAGUAAACUAAAGCAAUGGGAUGUUGUAAUUAUUUACUCUAGGGGGAAAAAGUUAUAGGAAAAAGGGAAACCUACACCGUGGCUCAGGAGCGACUAAAUUUUGCAAUCACUAAAAAUGAAAAAGACAGUGCAUAUCAAACCAAAACACUGUAUUGGGAUGAUAAGGGAAAAGGGCCUUAAGAGCUCUUCUACCGUAAGACAAAUGCUUAGUACACCUGAAACUAAUACAAUCUAUGUCCAUUACAUCUCAAAGGACAAAUGAUAAUGCUUCAAGUUUCCACAUAGGCAUACUAUUCAAAAAUAUGGAAGUGUGUACCGAAACAGAUAUACACACAAGUCUGUAAGAUAAUCCGAUUUGAAAUUACUUCCUUCAUGGAUAACUGCAUCCCAGUAAUGUAUUCUAGCACAAAUUGCCGAACCUGUGUACUUUGUCAUAGUUUCAUUUAGUCAAACACGCUUUAGCGUACUUAUUCCCAGAAAGAUAUCAACUUCAAGAGAAGAUGCUUUGUGUUGUAAAAUGCUACAGGAAAAAAAGAUGGGAGGCAAAUACUGGAAAAAAAAAAAAAAAAAGACAGGGGAAAGGAGUCCUUAAAGUAAGAUAUGUAGUUCUCAACCCUGGCUGCAAAUAUGAAUCACCUAGGCAUUCAUGCCCAGGAUACUCUGCCGCAUUCUGAUCUAACUGGUCUAAGGUACAGCCUUGGGCUUAUUUAUUCUAACACGCGACCAAGAUUGAGUCAUUUGAGUAUCUCUGGAUUAGUUGUAUGACAGUGGUGAAAAUGGAAAAUGCUGAGACUGUCAGUGUUGUUGAUACAGAAAGUAAAAAAUACAGGACUAAAGCAGCAGUCUGUUCACAUUAUUCCCCUGCUUAAAAAACAACAUAAAACGAGCAAACACUUCAACGGCUCCCAUGGCUUGCUCUGUACGUAUAGUUUAAUGUCUUAGUUGGUCCACACACAAGGCCCUCUGUGAUCUGACUCCAGGGGCUACCUCUCCAGCCUCAUCUCUAACUCCCCACAGGCAAACUAAGAUACUGCCAAACUAAACUAUUUUCAGCUUCCUUCAAUGUACCAAAGUAUUUGAUUCCUCUCCCAUUUGCAUAUUAUUAGUCCUUCAGCCUAGAAUAAUAUGCCCCUUCUACUCAGUCUACUUAGCAUGCCCUAUAAACUCCUACUUACAUUAAAGUACAAGUAUACCUUUUCCCGUAGUCUUCCAGGAACCACUUGAGAAAAAUUAAUCACUUACUUCUUGGCAAUCAUCACCACACUUUUAUACAUUGUUAAACCAUUUACCGCACUGCAUUUUCCCCCAUAGGUCUCACUGACUGAUCUUUGAGCACUUUGGGAACAAGUUAACUGUGUUACUGUUUCUGUUUUUCGUCUUCCUAUCUGCUAUGCCUAACUGAAGACUGGCUUAUGGCCCAUGACUAAAUGUCAGUUGCAUGAGUGAGUGAGUAUAAAAUGACAGGAGGACCACUAGCUCUAAAUUUUCAACAGGAAAGUUAAAGGAAAAGAAAAAUUCUAAGUAGUAAAUGGGGAUUGCGGAGGCCUGACAAAUUCUGUGACUUGAAGCAGCCUAUGAAUGCUUUUCCUCAUCUCCUAAAUCUUUCCCCUACACCCUCCAUUCCCCACUAGUCUGAUUAAGGAAGGUCCGAUAAGUAAAUGAUUAAUUAAACAAUAAUAAUAAAACAGUGGAGAAGAGGAAUAGGAUGGGUUAUACAAGGAGAAACAAAGACUUUGGUACUGUUUUGUUUCUUAAACUAUGCGAAAAGAUAGGCAGGCGAUAACUGUGUUGACCUUUAUAGUCUUUAUCAUGUCUUAAAAUGCUGCUUUACAUAUAGUAGUGAACUCAAGUAACAAGGACUGGAAAAUAUAAACUGCUGAAAAAAAAAUCACAUGUUAAAUGUACAGAUGAUAUCGUUAAAGAAUUAAAUUCCGAGCACUCUGAAAUUACCUGAAAUGUGGUAUCUGUGGUAACUGCAAACAUACACGUAAUUGCGUGUGUGUGUGUGUGUGUGUGUGUGUGUAUACAUUUACUUACAAUCUUGGAAAAGACUAGUGUUCUCAGCUAUGGAACAAGUGAACUAAAGCCAUUUCAUUCUCUUCACUUCUCAAAUCCAGGAAAAAAACCCCACGUGAGCAGUAACAGUUGGUAUCAUUAUAAAACACCGGUUUUUAUUAUGUCUGGGUAUCAAACAGAAAACGAAACUGAAUUUAAAAAGUAGUUCCAAUUGCUAAGAAAAGCAUUCUGUUCAAAGAAUGGCUAAGACUUUACCUAUUAUCAGCACCACCACCCUCCCACUUUUUUUUUUUUUUGGUCUGGGUGUUUUCUCUCUUCAGAAGACAUCACAUCUCAUUCUUUCUGACUCAGAACAGGUUUUACAACUUCUUGGCCCUUUGGACUUCCAACUUCCACAUGUCUCAUAACCUGUCCCAGACUAAUUAGGGACACGCAACCUCCUAUACAGAACCAAAAGCAUUUAGUUCUCUAAUACCUAAGAAAGGAAAAAAGGGUUUGGGAUGCAGAUUUCCGGAAACCCGUGUAUCUCACGAGACAACUCAUUCCCGAGUCUGAUGGAGCAGGCGAAAUCAGAACGUGAAGGCACAUUGGCUUAAAGAAUUGGGCGGUAAACAAAGCAGCACCAGUAAUGAUAAUUAAAAAAAAAAAAAAGUUGAUGGGUUUCUGGACGCACACUCAUGGGGCAAGACACGGAUGCUUAACUAGAGAUAGAUCAGGCCUGCAAAAUGCCUCCAGGUAUCACUAGGUGCUUUUCUCUUUGCUUUGCUAAAAUCCAAAAAUUCUUAGUUUGGACUCUGGGAUCUCAAAUGCCUCCUCUUUUCACUCCUCACUUCUCCCACAAACCCUGUCCCUCCUGCACCUUCUCCCAGCCUAAAAUACCGACUUUCUACCCGCCCCCUCGAGCAAAGCACUUCUCUGCGCCUCUGUCCACCGACAGCCCAGCCUCCGGCUGUCCCCUAAGGCGGCCAGACUCUCCUCCUAGCAGUCAAGCCGUUGCGCAGCUCCAUCCUUCUCACCUUGGUUACAGAAGAGGCUCCACAGUUUAGCGAAGAUCAGCCCCAUCAUGAGCACCUGGGCGGGCCGCGGGGUCCCUCAGCAGCAGGUGCCGCUGCGNNNNNNNNNNNNNNNNNNNNNNNNNNNNNNNNNNNNNNNNNNNNNNNNNNNNNNNNNNNNNNNNNNNNNNNNNNNNNNNNNNNNNNNNNNNNNNNNNNNNNNNNNNNNNNNNNNNNNNNNNNNNNNNNNNNNNNNNNNNNNNNNNNNNNNNNNNNNNNNNNNNNNNNNNNNNNNNNNNNNNNNNNNNNNNNNNNNNNNNNNNNNNNNNNNNNNNNNNNNNNNNNNNNNNNNNNNNNNNNNNNNNNNNNNNNNNNNNNNNNNNNNNNNNNNNNCCUCGGUCUGAACCCACCUACCCACCAGAGCCUCUACCAGCCCCAAGCCCCGCCUCCGCUCCGCCUCCCCUCCCGAUUCCCGGCCACCCAUCGCCGGAAGGACGCGGACUGACGUCGGCGCGCUUGCGUUUACCCACGCUUUCGACGUGGCGUUUCCUUCGGUUUCACUUCCGGGGGGCGGGCUUCAAACUGCCCGCGGAAUGGGAGGUUAGGGGUCGUGGGAGUCGGGAGUUUCCCUAGGUGAGCUCUUAAACUCGGCGCGUUUUGUAAGCUUUUGUCACGUUCCAGUUCUUGAGUCUCUGCUGUUGGGCAAGUGCGCCCUCCCCCGUCUAAAUCUAGGGGCAGCUGCAGCUCCUCUAACCGAAAAGCUGCCGCUUGUUGCCCUUUACCGCACGGAAAUGAGGAGUGUUUCUCUCGCAACUGUCAUCGUGGGCAGGCAGGCGAGCUUGGUGUUCUAACGUGAUUCUUCAUUCGAAAUAGAAUUGCUUGGGAGACGAUCCAUGGACUGCCGGUAGCCACAAAGUUCGGUUGUGUGAUUAACUUAAAGCCGCCUAGUUGCCACGCAUUCGGAAUUUUCAUGGAGCCCAAAUCAAAAAAACAAAACAAAACUUUUCUGAAGCAUUAACUGAAAAUAACUUCCUUUGAUUGAAAUGGAAUCCCAGUAAUCUCUCCCGGUCAACAAAAUAGAGGAAAAAGCUCCAAGUGCUGUCCUAGAUCAAAGAAACUGAAAUUUCAAGGAGAAGGUUGAACUAGGGAAUUUAAAAAAUAUGUAUAUUAUGAACUUAAUACUUGGAAGAACUGUCUGCAGCUGGAGUUGAAUUCAAUUUAUUUCUUGGCUAACCUUUUAAGUCAAAAAGCUAAUUCUCUAAGCGUUUCAAUUCCACUUUGUAAUCAUUUUUUUAUUGUUGACACGACGUUACAUUGGCGUCAAGUGUACAUCAUAGUGAUUCAACAUCUCUGUCUUAUAUGCUCACACAAGUAACUACAAUCUGUCACUGCAUUGUACACUAUUACACAAUUCCACCUUCUUUGCCUUGUUAAGUUCCAACAAAUAUAAAAGCUGCAUAACCUGGCAUGAAACCUAAUGCCCCUGAAAUCAGUAAAGGAGAGAACUUAAUUGAACUGGACUUCGAUCAGGUGGUAUAUUUUAACCCAGGUAACAAGGCCUUUUAACAGGCCAAACCUUCCUUAGCUGUAGAAAGAGGAAUGAAAUGUAUGACUUGUGAAAUCCUCCUAGGGUUAUGAUUCAAAGAUUCUUCGGGGCGCCUGGGUGGCUCAGUGGGCUAAGCGGCCGACUUUGGCUCAGGUCGUGAUCUCGCGGUCCGUGAGUUGGAGCUCCGCAUGGGGCUCUGUGCUGACAGCUCAGAACCUGGAGCCUGUUUCAGAUUCUGUGUCUCCCUCUCUCUCUCUGACCCUCCCCCGUUCAUGCUCUGUCUCUCUCUGUCUCAAAAAUAAAUAAACGUUAAAAAAAAUUUAAAAACAAAAAAAACACAAAGAUUCUUGAAGACUUUUAUAUGGGAUGAUGUACUCCAACUUUCUCAUAUUAAAGACAAGUUAUAACGUCCCAUGUAGAGGAAAAGGUAUGUACUGAGCCUAUGUAAAUUAGUUUAUCUGUCAGGAUCAUGAAUUGGCUCCAAUAUAAAUGAUUUUGUGUUUGUGUAAACAGGCUUAAAGGGAUAUUUCUAAUCAUAGUUUCAUUAUUCAUAAAAAAACCUUUAGAUACUGUAACUUAGCCUCUCAAAUUGUUACACAUAUAUAUAUAUAAACUACAUUCCACUAUUUUCUGGCUUUUGGAUCUCCAAUUAACAGUUUCUGAAAUAAAGCAGUUUUGUUUUUUGCAGAGCUUCGAAGGAAAAAAAUUACUUAUUAAAUAUUUUUAUGAUGGUGUAAUGAUACUUUAGAAAGUAAAUUUGAAGUAUUUUUUCACUUUUAAUUCAGUGGUGGAAUGAAUAUAUUUGAGCAAGGCUGUUGAUAUUUCUAUUGGUGCUAUUCUUUCAAAAUGUUUGAAACUUUUUUUUUAGAGUAAUAUCUACACCCAAAGUGGGGCUCGAACUCACAACCCCCAAAUCAAGAGCUGCCUGCUCAGUCAACUGAGCCAGCCAGGUGCUCCAAAAUGUCUGAAACUUUUAUGUUCAAGAACUGUUCUAAUUUUUAUCAUCUUCUCUACAAUUUACCUGACAACAGGACUGCUGAAAUAUUUUUAAAAUAUUUUUUCACAUUAGAAAGUGUUAUUUGCCGAUUUAGGAAUUUGAAAUUUUUAUUAACUGUAAGAAAAGAAAACCACUCACAACUGAAAAGCGAAUAUAAUUGAUUAACAAAAAUAGAGUUCCGCAUUAUCUAAACAGAACUCUGCUGGCAUACCAGUAUUAUCUUUUACAAAAGAUACAAUUUAGUUCAUAUUGUAUAUUUGUAUUAUAUAUAUUAUAGUAGGAAUACUUGUCAAUAAUUUAAUCAAACUAAAGAGUUUUGAAUAAUACACUUUUUAAAUAUAUUUUGAAUACACUUUUUUAAAAAAAAAAUUUUUAACGUUUUAUUUAUUUUUGAGACAGGGAGAGACAGAGCAUGAACAGGGGAGGGUCAGAGAGAGGGAGACACAGAAUCUGAAACAGGCUCCAGGCUCUGUGCUGUCAGCACGGACUGCGAGAUCAUGACCUGAGCUGAAGUCGGCCGCUUAACCUACUGAGCCACCCAGGCGCCCCUGAACACACUUUUUAAACUUAAAAAACACCUUUGCUAAUUUUUUUCUGAAAACAUUCCUUUAAAAACUUUUAAAAACUAAUUUCAGCGUAGCCUUAAUCCAAAGAAGGUAUCACUGUUCUAUGAAAUGUUACUAUUUGAAUAUAUUUUGAAUUCAUGAAAGAAAAAAAAAUCAUGAAAAAGGAACGUGAUAAUACUGUCAUUAGGAUUAUAACUUAGUUUCUGAAGUGUUAGUUGGAAAUAACUUCCUUUAAUUAAAACCCAAUGCCAGUAAUAUUUCUCUCCAGUUCACUAAAUUUUAAGAAAAAGAUAAAAGUACUGUACAUAAAGCAAAACAAAUUAAAAUUUCAGGAAAAAAUGAAACAUUGAACAACUAGGGAAUUAAAAACAACAACCUGUAACUACUGUUCCUCACAAGGAACUAAUUAUCCAAAUUUAGAUAGUACUUAGAAGAGUUGGCUACAGCAGGAACUGAAUUCAAUUUAUUACUGUUAACUAAGAUAAACUGCAUGCAUGGCUUGAACGAAGAGUUCAGGACAGCAUGUUCUGCCAACUAGGAAUGAAACUUUUCAAAAACAAACAACUCUCCUACACUAUUAAGAUUAUGUCCACUUUGACUUUAGCCUCCAGAUGAGUUGAUAGAUUUCCUGCCUUUCUAGGCUUUUUUUCCUAAUCCCCUCAUACCUUCUUCAUGAAAUUGAAUAUUUUGGAAUAUGCUUGGUUUUUGGUAAGGUUAAGCUUUGGAGCACUACAAACUAAGACUUAAGAUUAUAAGAUUGUACUUAAGAUUUUUUUGCUCCUCCACAUGGGCAGCCAUAUUAUCCCAUGGAGCAAAUACAACCUAAAUGACCCGUAUAUGGGUAUAUUCCUAUAGGGCUCUUCCUUUGCUUAGACAAUAUGUUUGCACUAUGCCAACUUCAGAUUUGGUAUGUGUUUGUCUUCGACCCAAGUUUAGAACACUAAGAGGCAUCUUCAUCAACCUGUCACUACAAUAGUGUCUAGACAAGGAUAGUCUAAAAGUCCUCAGCACUGUUUAUAUGUGCUUCACUAGUAAACUAGUUUCCAGCAAAUACAUGCUUUAACAGUUUUCAUUCUCUAGGUCACAUAGAUGCCUAUCCAUUCAUCUAGUCAUUCAACAUUUAAGUGCCUAUUACAUGUUUUGGCAGUGGGUAUGCAGUGCAGUGAGAUGAAGUCUCUACCCUCGCGGAGUUUACAAUCUAGUCCAACUCGUUCCUUCCUCUCCCUUAUCUCCUAAAUACAGAUUCCAACCAUUAUUGGUGCUAGGGUUGUAAUGUUCAGGCUGCAAAAAUUCCUUUGGAAAUGCCCGAUCUAGACAUGUUUUCUAAUAACUUUUAGAUGAUUUAGCCACGGAAAAAUCCCAUGAACUUACUGAAGUAUACCAUGGUGAAAAGAGUUGGUAUUCGUUUUAGAUGACAGGUGGCUGUGGUCUUUAUCCUGACUUUCUAAGGAGACAAUUAUUUUUAGCUACCUAUUCAAUCAUAAAAUGUCUGACUUUCAUUAGGUACCUCCUCCUUUUGAAUCCUUUCCUUCAUCUGUAACACAUAAAUUAUGUCAAGGUUCUCAGAGCCUUCAAGUAUAAAUCAACUAUGAUACAGGUAACUGCUAGCCUCACUCAACUAACUAAAUGCUAGGUGUAGGUUUUUAAGUUUUAACGGAUCAUUCAUGGACAUGAACCCACCAGUAACCCAGCUUCCGAAAAUUUGAAUAACGUGGUUCAUUCAUCGCUGAAGUCAGACUAGUAUGCGUUUCUGAAAUCAAAGAGUGACUUACAGGUUCAAAUAAACUUCCUUUCUCUUUUCUUUGCAGGUCACCCAGCAGGUAACUAAUUGGCCCUCUCAACUUAUUCAGGCCAGCAAAGCCUUCGACUUAACCCACACCAUUUCCUCGUCUGCCCUGACACCCGCCNNNNNNNNNNNNNNNNNNNNNNNNNNNNNNNNNNNNNNNNNNNNNNNNNNNNNNNNNNNNNNNNNNNNNNNNNNNNNNNNNNNNNNNNNNNNNNNNNNNNNNNNNNNNNNNNNNNNNNNNNNNNNNNNNNNNNNNNNNNNNNNNNNNNNNNNNNNNNNNNNNNNNNNNNNNNNNNNNNNNNNNNNNNNNNNNNNNNNNNNNNNNNNNNNNNNNNNNNNNNNNNNNNNNNNNNNNNNNNNNNNNNNNNNNNNNNNNNNNNNNNNNNNNNNNNNNNNNNNNNNNNNNNNNNNNNNNNNNNNNNNNNNNNNNNNNNNNNNNNNNNNNNNNNNNNNNNNNNNNNNNNNNNNNNNNNNNNNNNNNNNNNNNNNNNNNNNNNNNNNNNNNNNNUGGUGUUUUUGCAACGUGGGUGACGUGGCCUCACAGUGAUUUCCGUGAGCGUCCCUAAAGGAGGACCAAGGACGGGUGUGGUGGAGGCGAGGAAGCUGCUCUGAACUGGCGACGCUCGAGAAAGCGUGGAUGUACCUCCGCAAAAGCCGAAUAUAACUUGGAAAGAGCGGCGCGAUUUUCCUGGCCAUCUGGCGGUCCCGGCGCGUGUGGGUGGUUACUCACUUGACAACACGCUGCUCACUGUUCACUCGGAAAGAGAAAAAUCACCGUUUUCCAGCAUUUUUCUUGGAGGAGAACAAAACUAUCGCCAAAAUGUCUAUUUUCCCUAAAAUAUCUUUGAGACUUGAGGUUGAAAGGUACCUUAAGGAGGGUUUUAUGAAUAAGGAGGUAGGUCAAAUAAACCUGGUAGAUGAUAUUUGGAAAAACUCAAAUACUUACACACUCUGGAGAAAUAGAAAAAAAAAAAAAAAGAGGCCUAAAGCGAAACCUCAUCUUGACACCGUUGUUUCUGCCUGGUUUUUUUCGAAUGUAAAAACGGCCGGUAUCUUCCCCGUAGGGAUUUAGUGUUUUCGAGAUCAGAGGUGAAUGAGGUAUAUACGUUUCUACCCUUAGGAACGUGGAAGAAGGGAGGGGAACAAAGCGGUUAUGUGCCCGGCAGUAGGCGUGGCACUGAAGGGGUUGCAAAAUGAGCGCAAAACGAUUCCUGUUCUCGAGAACUUAAGUCCUGCAGAGAAGUCACAGCUGCACUCUUGGAGUGUGGCAGUCUGUUGAAAGGGAUGCUAGAAGUUGUUAAUGCCUCAAAUGCCACCCGUUGUGCUAGGUGGCUUGCAGACCUUUACAUCUUAAUAUUCGCGCUCUCUCGCUCGCUCUCUCUUUUGGUAGAGAUUGCCUCUCCAUUUUAACAGGUGAGAGGACGGAGGGUCCAAAGAGGCCAAAGUGACACCGCUAUGAAGUAACAGGACUGAAAUCUGAAGCCUGAAGAGUUCAGGUACAAUGACAAAAUCCAGAUCUGGAGUCCCAAGUCCUGGGUUUGUGUCUCUGUGCUUUGAACGAAUCAUUUCAGAGCGCUUAGCCUUAAUUUCCUUUUCUGCGAAAACCGGGGAUGUUAAAAAUACAUAUCCUUACAAGGUUGCUUUGGAAUAUUAAUCCUGAGAAAGCAGUUGGCGUUGUUGUGGCACACAGCCCUCAACAAAUACUCAUUCUCUGUGCUUUUCGCAGUGCCUCGCACAGAAGUCCUCAGUGAAUACUGUCUUUGGUUGCCAAGCUUGUGCUCUUUACAUUUUACGAUCCGGCCUCUAGGCAACUUUGUACUUCUAAGUCUUUGCUUUUCUGUUCAAAGUAAAGCCACCUAAAUGUUAAUCGUGCGAAGAUAUUGCUGAAGCUGACUUGUUAGAUUUGAUUUCUGCAUUUUAUUUCCAAAGAUUAUUUAAAAAAUUUUUUUAACGUUUUAUUUUUGAGACAGAGAGAGACAGACCAUGAACGGGGGGGGGGGGGGGGCGGNNNNNNNNNNNNNNNNNNNNNNNNNNNNNNNNNNNNNNNNNNNCUCUGAGCUGUCAGCACAGAGCCCGACGCAGGGCUCGAACCCACGAACCACGAGAUCAUGACCUGAGCCCAAGUCGGAUGCUCAACCGACUGAGCCACCCAGGCGCCCCUCCAAAGAUUAUUUUACGGGACUAGACAGCAUGGAAAGAGAAAAGACAUUCUCUAGAUUUCAGAGAACUUAAAAUAUAAGGAGCAUAUUAAGAGAAAUAGAGGCAUUCAGAAAUUUUUCCCAGCGGGUUUAAAAAAAAUAAAUAUUGCUUUUAUGAAAGAAGAUCCAAAUGUCCGUCUUUGACACCACCUCUGCCUCAAACCCGCUAACUGUAAGUGAUUUUACGAAAAGGAAAGCCAUUACUUUGUAAAAGUAUUGGAGGUAAAGGUCAGUUUUAAUACACUAGAGAAAGUACUAAUACUAUGAGGCUGGUGGGUUAGUAGGCUGGCAAGUGGUUUAUGAAGAUGCUGUGGGGCAGGGUAUAUUCAGAGAUCACAGAAAUGGGAGGCGCCUGGGUGGCUCAGUGGGUUGCGCGUCCGACUUCAGCUCAGGUCAUGAUCUUGUGGUUCUUGAGUUGGAGCCCCACAUCGAGCUCAUGUGUCAGUGCACAUCCCGCUUCAGAUCCUUUGUCCCUCUCUCUCUCUGCCCCUCCCCCACUCAUACCCUCUCAAAAAUAAACAUUAAGAAGAAAAGAUGACAAAAAUGGGAAAAUACAUGUCUCGUAAAGCUUCAGUUCAUCACAGGGAACUUGGUUGGUUGAGUCUUUCAUUAGUUGAACGAAUGGGUGUUCAUGUUCUUAAAAUUUUUAGUUCAUUUGUUGAGGGACGUUGAAACAUUAACUUGUUAUUUUUCUCUUUUUCAGGUUGUAUCUGCUCUAGGCAAACAAGAAGCAGAAAGGAGAUUUGAAACUCUGUUAAAUCACUUGUCACACCCUCCAUCAUUCACAACUGUCAGAGUAAACACACAUCUCGCCUCAGUGCAACAUGUGAAAAAUCUGUUGUUGGAUGAGCUUCGGAAGGUAUGUGCAAAUUUUCUGUCAUGUCUAUGACAUUUCUACAGUCUAUGUCAUGUUGCUGUUCACUAAAAUCCUAUGAACAUAAUGUACUAUUCCAAUUUUACACCUAAGGAAGUCAAAGAUCAUGAAUGUUCAGUUGUUAAGUGGUAAUGUUAGACGUAAUGUUAGAACCCAGCACUUGUGAUUCAGAAUUUAUUAUAGUGACUGAGUAGGUCACUCAGCUCAUCUGGCCUCAGUUGCUUCAUCAUUAAAAUACAUAUGAACAGAUCUGUUCUAACCCUAAAAGUCUGGUUUUGUAAUAAGUUACCUGAUUAGUGUGUAAAUUAAAAGAUGCAAGCAUAAUCAAAGGGCUUUUAUUUAUAUAUUUAUUAUAGGCUGUGUUAUUAGUUUAAUGAAGAUGUAACAUUAAGAAAUCUUCAGAAACUUAUCACUGAUGUUGAUUUACUUAUUGUUCUUUAAUCUCAUUAGAUUUAUGGAAUGUUUGUUAUAUUGUCUGUAAGAACAGUUUUAUAAAUUUCAAGUUGUGAGAAAAUGUGUAAGAACUACCCGCUAUGGGAUCUGAGUGUAUGAGACCCAAACUAGUGUAUUAUUAAUAAGACUUGUAGAAAAAGUAAUCGGAUUUUGAAUAUUGAUAGUGAUAAUUUUAUUGAGAGUAAUGACAGUAAGCAGUUCCUCUAAGCAACUAAAUGUAACAAAUAACAAAAUAUAAGCAGUUCCUCUGAACAACUAAAAUUAAUACUCUUAUGCAGUCACGUAUAUGUUUUCAGGUAGUAGAAAGGAAAGUGUUCUGAGGCCCAUCACAACUGUCUAUAACUCCUGCAGAUCCAGAUUAUUUUCUUUUCUAGCAAACUAUUCCUGGAGUCUACGUAUUCUAGUAUUCCAGUCCAGUGGGCCUAUAGCAUCUAGUAUACUAGUAACUAGUAUCUAGGAUAAGGCAGACAUUGACUAUGGAUGGGCUUUGAGUCUCUUAAAGGUUAAGAGUAAGGCAGAAGGUUGACCCCUAAGCACUAGAUAGGAAAUUGAUGGUAGAGCAGUACCUACUUCUAGCAGGAAACGGGUCUCAGACUAUUUAUUUUCUUUCUCCUUCCAUGAUCCAAAACUCAUGUGUGUCCUAAAGAGAUGUCCCAUAUGGGAUUAUGGAGGAGUGGGUACUUUGUCUCCCCAGAGUUCUCUGGGCCCCAUAUUGGGAUUUAAUAAUUUAAAUUUCAUCUGGCUGGUGAGGAUGUGGCGAAACUGGAACCUUCAUACGUUAUAGGUGAGAAUGUCAAAUGGUUUGGCUUUGGAAGACGGUUGGGAAGAGAUGCACAUAACUGGUUCUCCUGAGACUGUGUGAGUUGGCCUCAGCACCUAUACUCCUGGCCCUGCACCCACUUCUAGUCUGAAGACCCAAGUAUGAUAGAGGAUACUGAAAAUCCUGAACUUUUGCCAAUAAGCAUUUCUUUUCCUCACCAAAACUGACAUGGCAUCCUGUAUUGAUUGUAUAUAAUAAAUAAUAUUAAUCCUAAUCUUUAAUGUCCUGUUUAGAGUUUUUCAUUGAAAGAGUACUACAUGCAAUUCUAUAUUGGAUAUAUGUUUUCAAAAUAAGUCAUUUUAGGUAAAUGCGGGUUGGCUUUUAUAAAACCAAACAGUAAGCAAAAUUGAACCUUAGGAAGACAUAGAGAAGAAGAAAAUAUGCAGAAAAUAUAGUUGUUUUGAAGUCUUUGUUCCAUAGUAUUAUGUGGAAUAAAGUGAGAAUAGCCUAAACCAAGCUUCAUGCUCUGCUAGAUAAUGACACUGAAAAGCUCUGUAAGUUGAAAUUUAUCAGUUAUAUUGAUUGCUUCAUACUUCUGUUUAUUUUUAACAGCAAUUUAAUGGAUUAAGUGUUCCCAUUCUUCAACAUCCAGACCUUCAGGACGUCUUACUCAUUCCUAUUAUUGGACCUAGGUUUGUAACUUUUCCAUUUCCAAUUAAAUUCUAAAAAUUUGUCACAGGUUUUAUCUUACUGUUGGAUAACACUGAGUUUCUGUAUUAUUAGCCACUUUGUAUAGAUAGACAAGAAUUCACAAGUUCAAAAAUGCCAACUUCAUACUGUGUCGUGGGAGAUGUUACAAAAAAGACUAGGAAUGGGCCCAAAUACCUUGAAAGUAAUGCAUUUUAUGUCCAUUUGGUGCAAAGAUUGGUUGUUUUUCCUCCUCCUGUUUUUUUUUUUUUUUUUUAAUUUGUUUGUUUAUUUAUUUAUUUAGAGAGGGAGAAGCAGAAUCCCAAGCAGGCUUGGGAACCUGACAGCCCAGAGCCUGACACGAGGCUUCAACUCACGAACCAGGAGAUCAUGACCUGAGUUGAAAUCAAGAGUAAGGUGUUUAACCGUCUGAGCCACUCAGACACCCCAGUUGUGGAUUCUCUUAAUACUAUAAGUAAACAAAUGAAGUGACUUAGAAAGUAGGAGGAAAGGGGCGCCUUUCCUCUUGUUUUUGGCUCACGUCAUGACAGUGUGGAGCCUCCUCAGAAUUCUGCCUCUCUCUCUCAAAAUAAAUAAAUUGAAAAAAAAAAACCACAAAAAAACAUAGAGCUUCCACUGCUAAUAUAAAACUUUUUUUUUUGAGCUACACAAAAAUACAAAGCAACAUAUUUGCUACAUUCAUAGGUGAUAUGUUUGUAAAAUUUUAUUCCUUAAUCCACAGUUACAUUAAAUUAUUGUGUAUGUUCUGUAGAACAAUGUUCUACUCAUUUAUGUAUUUGGAAGACACGUUUGAAAAUUGGGGGAAAAAAGCCUUUUCAUAUUAUAAUAGGAAUUCAUUUCCCCAGAACAUUUUAAAUCCCUAAUUAUGGUUUAAUUUUUUUGUACCCCUAUGAGUUUUAUUAAAUAGAAAAAUGCUUAUUUUGUGAAAGCUUUAAAGUAAUUUAGUAAAGCAGUCAAUAGUAAGGCAGUGGUUUAGUAAGUUAAGAUUUAUCUGUGCAGUGAAACAUGGCCUUUAAUGGGGGAGAAUUAUAUGUAUCAAUAAGAGAAGAAUUCACAAUUAUCAAAAGGAGGUUGCCAUGCAUAGGAUAAUUACAAAUUUUUUUUUUUGUAAUUACAAAAACAACUAUACAUUUAUGUAUAUUUACAUUUAGAAGUCUGGAAGCUUUAACGAACCCAACUUUUUUUUUUUAAAUAAAGUUACUUUCUUUAAGUUUAUUUGAGAGAGAGAAAGAGAGCAAGCAAGCAUGCAGGGGAGAGAAAGAGAGAGAGGGAGGGAGGGAGAGAAUCCUGAGCAGGCUCUGUACUUCUCUGCACAGAACCCGAUGUGGGGCUUAAACUCACAUCCUGGACUAUUUUUUUUUUUUUUUCAUAAAGCCGUCAUAUCCAACUAUUAAUAGAGGUUAAUUCUGAGUAGUUAACUCUGAUGAGGUUGGAUUAGGAGAAAAGUGGUAAGAGGAGAUUUUCACUUGUAACAUUUCUGUGUUAUAUUUACUGCAAGUAUAUUUACUGUAAGAAAUACCGUAUGUAUUUCUUUUGCAUUAAAAAGAAGGAGUUUUUGAGUUCCUUAUUUUAUUUCUUAAGGUGAAAUUUGCAGGCGGUGAAAUGGAGAGAUCUUAAUUAUGUGUAUCAUUGGCUGAAUUUUCCCAAAUUUGUAUAGCUGUGUGGUUAAGAUCCACCUCAAUCAAGAUAGAAAGAUGUCCAUAAUUGUCCCUAAUUCUAUAUAAAGCUAUUUCAUUCUUUUUUAAUAGCUGCAUACUUAAAAAAAUUUUUUUAUCCUUCUGUUGAUGGACAUUUCAUUAUUACCAACAGUAAAUAUUCUUAAGAUGUUUCUUUGUGGACUUGCAUAAGCAUGUCUACAAGAUAAAUUGGUACCCCAUGGAAUCACUGGUUCAUUGGUCUGUGCAUAUUUUAGUUUGAGACCUAUUGCCUUCUAAAACGUUUUACCAGUCAGGAGCACCUGGGUGGCUCAGUUGGUUAAGUGUCCGACUUCAGCUCAGGUCAUGAUCUCAUCUCAUGGUUGGUGAGUUCCAGCCCCGAGUUGAGCUGUGGGCUGACAGCCCAGAACCUGGAACCUACUUGGAUUCUGUGUCUCCAUCUCUCUUGCCCCUCCCCGACUUGUGCACUCAUGCGUGCACACUCUCUCGCUCGCUCUUUCACUCUCUCUCUCUCUCAAAAAUCAACGUUAAAAAAUAAAAAAAAUAAGUUUUACCAGUUAAUGUUUCUAGCAAUAUAUGAGAGAUUCUUAGAUCUUAAUUCUUUUUCUCUCUUUUAAUGUUUCUUUAUUUUUGAGAGAGAGAGCAAGAGAGAGACAGAAUGUGAGCAGGGGAGGGGCAAAGAGAGGGAAACACAGAAUUCAAAGCAGGCUCCAGGCUCCACACUGACAGCCCAAUGCAGGGCUUGAACCCACGAACCACGAGAUCACGCCCUGAGCCGAAGUUGGACACUCAGUCGACUGAGCCACCCAGGCGCCCCUCAGAUCUUUUAUUCUUGCUAAUACUGGCUAUGUUAGCUCUUUUAAAAAUGUGCAGAUAAUUUAAUUAUUUUCUGAAUUUAGCAACCCUUUCAUCCUGUUCCUUGUAGUGAUCUAGGCUACUCAUCAGAACAUUUAUGAACUAAAAAAUACAAAUGAUGAGUUACAACAGGAAAGUAUUCAAAAGUCAUUUAGGAGAAUAGAUUCACAUACCUACCUUUCACUUCUAAAAGGAGCAAAUCCAUUCUUUUUUGUUUUUAAAAUUCAUUAUCACUAUUAUUACCUUAGGAGUUUCCACUAUGAAAAAUGAGGAAGUUCUUUAAUUUUAUCCCCUAAAACCUCCACCAGCCAGUUUUUAUUUACUGUGUUCUUUAGCAUUGUAGAGGUUUAUAACAUUGUUAUUCUAGAAGCACAAUUCAAAUGGAUGCAGUGCUUACUUUUAAUUCUAAUAGUUCAUUUCUGAGUUGUCUUGAUUGCUCUCUUGGUUAGCAAGUAUAGUCCUUUAUCAGGUGUGCAGCCCGUCUGCUUCCCGUCUUCAAAAUAAGUAUUCUCCUCUCCAAAGUAUUUACUUUCUUGCUUGAGAAUUGCCUGUUGCCUUUAUAUUUAAACAAUAGGUUGACUGAUAGUGGUUUCAGGUCCCAUGUUAUUUCCCUUAACACUUUGUAGACAUUGCUUUUACAGCGUCAGGGCGUCAAGUGUUGCUGUGAAGAAAUCAGAGGCCGGGGCGCCUGGGUGGCUCAGUUGGAUAAGCCUCUGACUUCAGCUCUGGUCAUGAUCUUGAGCUUUGUGGGUUUGAGCCCUACAUUGGGUCUGUGCUGACAGCUGGGAGCCUGGAGCCUGCUUCAGAUUCUGUGUCUCCCUCUCCCUCUGCCCCUCCCCUGUUCACACUCUGUCUCUCUCUCAAAAAUUAACAUUAAGGGGCGCCUGGGUGGCGCAGUCGGUUAAGCGUCCGACUUCAGCCAGGUAACGAUCUCGCGGUCCGUGAGUUCGAGCCCCGCGUCAGGCUCUGGGCUGAUGGCUCAGAGCCUGGAGCCUGUUUCCGAUUCUGUGUCUCCCUCUCUCUCUGCCCCUCCCCCGUUCAUGCUCUGUCUCUCUCUAUCCCAAAAAUAAAUAAACGUUGAAAAAAUAAAUAAAUAAAUAAAUAAACAUUAAAAAAAAAAUUCAGAGGCCAAAAAAACAUCCUGUCUCCCAGCUGCCCACAAGAGUAGUUUUUACUUGGAGAUCUAUGAAUUCAUCAUUGAACUUUAGAAACUGGGCUGGGAUAUAGCUUGAUUUUCACUAUUCUCUCUUGCUCUUUAGUCAAACAGUAUAACUUUUUAGUUACAAGUCCACCAGUAGUUCUGUGAAUAUUUUUGUUGUACUUUUCUGUAUUCUCUAUUAUAAGGACCCUAGGACUCUGUAGGUUGGAUCUCCAGUGCAGGUAUUCCUGUGUUGGGGCACCCCCAAGACAACCAACCCUCAGGUGCUGUGAUUGACAAGAAUGAGUCAGGAUUCAGCAUGUUGUAGUGCUCCUGGGGAAGACUGAUUACACAAAAGGAUACAAAAGCAAAUCUAGAAGGGAAAGGUGCAUGGGGCAAAGUCUGGAAGAAGUCAGGCACAAGCUUCCAAGAGUCUUCUCCCCGAUGGACUUAUUAGAACAUGCUUAAUUCCUCUAGCAACAAAUUGUGACACGAGUAAAAUAGUUGCCCAGGAGGGCAGCUCAUUAGAGACUAGACCCAGUGGCCAAGGUUUUUAUUGGGCGCUGGUCAUGUGAUCACCCUCUGCCCAGCAUGUACCAAAAUUUCAGGCUCCCAAAAGGAAAACAGGUGUUCAGAAUAAAGCACAUUGCUUAUACAAACAGUUUAGGAAUGCCCUAUCACGAAGAUGGAGCCGAAGGUGAAGAAGGAAGCCCCUGCUCCUCCCAAAGCUGAAGCCAAAGGAAGGGCUUUGAAGGCGAAGAAAGCAGUGCUGAAAGGCGUCCACAGUCAUAAAAAAAAAAAAGAAGAUCUGCACGUCAUUUACCUUCCGAUGGCCCAAGACACCGCAUGUCCGAAAGCAGCCCAAAUAUCCUCGAAAGAGCGCCCCCAGGAGGAACAAGCUUGACCGCUAUGCCAUCAUCAAGUUUCCCCUAACUGCCAAGUCAGCCAUGAAGAAAAUAGAAGACAACAACACUCUUGUGUUUAUUGUGGAUGUCAAGGCCAACAAGCACCAGAUCAAACAGGCUGUAAAGAAGUUCUAUGACAUUGACAUUGUCAAGGUCAACACUCUGAUCAGGCCCAAUGGAGAAAAGAAAGCAUAUGUUCCAUUGGCUCCUGACUAUGAUGCUUUGGAUGUUGCCAACAAAAUUGGGAUCAUCUAAACUGAGUCCAGCUGGCUAAAUCUAAAUAUAAAUUUUUUCAACAACAAAAACAAACAAACAGU
RNAcentral lists this long non-coding RNA (20241 nucleotides) under Lynx pardinus (Iberian lynx). Lineage: Eukaryota; Metazoa; Chordata; Mammalia; Carnivora; Felidae. The record is from RNAcentral.